Long non-coding RNA from Portunus trituberculatus (swimming crab), 444 nucleotides. RefSeq lists it as uncharacterized. The transcript has 3 exons. NCBI's taxonomy places the organism in Eukaryota, Metazoa, Arthropoda, Malacostraca, Decapoda, Portunidae. The record is from RefSeq and is a predicted model, not a curated record.
GGAAAAUGGAAGUGGAAGAAGAGGAGGAGCCAAGCCACAAUAUUUAGGUCCGCAGAAAACGACACGCUGAUUUAUUUGAAGUCAAGGAUGGAGAUUAAAACGGCCUUUAAAAACACCACACCCGUUUUGUCCACCGCCAUCACCACCUUCUCCCAGAUCAAGGAAGUGUAUUACGGACUCACACAAAAGGAAGAGGUGAGUACCCGUAUCACAGGUCACACCGUGGGACUGACACCGCUGCAGCAACCCUUCGGAAUAAAGUCAAGUACAAAUUACAGUUUGCUAGGCGUUAGGUGUUAGGCAUAGGGCUAACCAUUCUCUUCCAGGUACAUGUUAAUUAUCUAGUCUUCUUCAGUAAUGCCCUGGUUACUUUUGGCUAAAAUAAGCGUCUUGUGUGUGUGUGUGUGUGUGUGUGUGUGUGUGUGUGUGUGUGUGUGUGUGUGU